Molecule: ribosomal RNA, 284 nt
Filed under: Fusicatenibacter saccharivorans
Lineage: Bacteria; Bacillati; Bacillota; Clostridia; Lachnospirales; Lachnospiraceae
Description: partial 16S ribosomal RNA
Rfam family: Bacterial small subunit ribosomal RNA
Source: RNAcentral
UCUGGUCCUUUUGUGCCCGCAGCCGCGGUAAUACGUAGGGGGCAAGCGUUAUCCGGAUUUCCUGGGUGUAAAGGGAGCGUAGACGGCAAGGCAAGUCUGAUGUGAAAACCCAGGGCUUAACCCUGGGACUGCAUUGGAAACUGUCUGGCUCGAGUGCCGGAGAGGUAAGCGGAAUUCCUAGUGUAGCGGUGAAAUGCGUAGAUAUUAGGAAGAACACCAGUGGCGAAGGCGGCUUACUGGACGGUAACUGACGUUGAGGCUCGAAAGCGUGGGGAGCAAACAGG